This 245-nucleotide long non-coding RNA is filed under the name Ananas comosus (pineapple). RNAcentral's name for it is "long non-coding RNA (ACOM_LNC008154)". Lineage: Eukaryota; Viridiplantae; Streptophyta; Magnoliopsida; Poales; Bromeliaceae. The record is from RNAcentral.
CUCCCUCACCAACCAACCAACCGGCCUCUCCCCCGAGGAAUUCUACACUGUCACACUUACACCACGUCAUUAAUAAUAAAUCAAUCACAUUCAUUCUUUUUAAACAAAAGUAUAAUAAAAAUAUUUUUUUAUAAUUAUGAUGAGACAUAUAUUCUUAAAAGAAUUAAUUUGAUUGUUUUGUUACGUCACGUCACUAAUAUAUCCGUUGCAUUCUAGAAUUUUUCCUCACCCCCGGCCCACGUCAA